GACGAACGCUGGCGGCGUGCCUAAUACAUGCAAGUUGAGCGCUGAAGGUUGGUACUUGUACCAACUGGAUGAGCAGCGAACGGGUGAGUAACGCGUGGGGAAUCUGCCUUUGAGCGGGGGACAACAUUUGGAAAUGAAUGCUAAUACCGCAUAAAAACUUUAAACACAAGUUUUAAGUUUGAAAGAUGCAAUUGCAUCACUCAAAGAUGAUCCCGCGUUGUAUUAGCUAGUUGGUGAGGUAAAGGCUCACCAAGGCGAUGAUACAUAGCCGACCUGAGUGGGUGAUCGGCCACAUUGGGACUGAGACACGGCCCAAACUCCUACGGGAGGCAGCAGUGGGGAAUCUUCGGCAAUGGACGAAAGUCUGACCGAGCAACGCCGCGUGAGUGAAGAAGGUUUUCGGAUCGUAAAACUCUGUUGGUAGAGAAGAACGUUGGUGAGAGUGGAAAGCUCAUCAAGUGACGGUAACUACCCAGAAAGGGACGGCUAACUACGUG
RNAcentral lists this ribosomal RNA (497 nucleotides) under uncultured bacterium. Its description in RNAcentral is "partial 16S ribosomal RNA". It matches the Rfam family "Bacterial small subunit ribosomal RNA", at positions 28 to 507 of the family's 1533-position model. The record is from RNAcentral.